AUGCCUACGGGCCAAAGAGGGGGACCUUCGGGCCUCUCGCGUCAAGAUAUGCCUAGGUGGGAUUAGCUAGUUGGUGAGGUAAUGGCUCACCAAGGCGACGAUCCCUAGCUGGUCUGAGAGGAUGAUCAGCCACACUGGAACUGAGACACGGUCCAGACUCCUACGGGAGGCAGCAGUGGGGAAUAUUGCACAAUGGGCGCAAGCCUGAUGCAGCCAUGCCGCGUGUAUGAAGAAGGCCUUCGGGUUGUAAAGUACUUUCAGCAGUGAGGAAGGGGGUGUCGUUAAUAGCGGCAUNUCUUGACGUUAGCUGCAGAAGAAGCACCGGCUAACUCCGUGCCAGCAGCCGCGGUAAUACGGAGGGUGCGAGCGUUAAUCGGAAUUACUGGGCGUAAAGCGCAUGCAGGUGGUUUGUUAAGUCAGAUGUGAAAGCCCGGGGCUCAACCUCGGAACUGCAUUUGAAACUGGCAAACUAGAGUACUGUAGAGGGGGGUAGAAUUUCAGGUGUAGCGGUGAAAUGCGUAGAGAUCUGAAGGAAUACCAGUGGCGAAGGCG
This 552-nucleotide ribosomal RNA is filed under the name Vibrio sp. N04IS10. Its description in RNAcentral is "bacterial SSU rRNA". It matches the Rfam family "Bacterial small subunit ribosomal RNA", at positions 190 to 723 of the family's 1533-position model. Lineage: Bacteria; Pseudomonadati; Pseudomonadota; Gammaproteobacteria; Vibrionales; Vibrionaceae. The record is from RNAcentral.